RNAcentral lists this ribosomal RNA (387 nucleotides) under uncultured Neisseria sp. RNAcentral describes it as "bacterial SSU rRNA". It matches the Rfam family "Bacterial small subunit ribosomal RNA", at positions 33 to 416 of the family's 1533-position model. The record is from RNAcentral. Lineage: Bacteria; Pseudomonadati; Pseudomonadota; Betaproteobacteria; Neisseriales; Neisseriaceae.
ACGCUGGCGGCAUGCUUUACACAUGCAAGUCGAACGGCAGCACGAAAGAGCUUGCUCUUUUGGUGGCGAGUGGCGAACGGGUGAGUAAUACAUUGGAACGUACCGAGUAAUGGGGGAUAACUGUCCGAAAGGAUGGCUAAUACCGCAUACGCUCUGAGGAGGAAAGCGGGGGACCUUCGGGCCUCGCGUUAUUCGAGCGGCCAAUGUCUGAUUAGCUAGUUGGUGGGGUAAAGGCCUACCAAGGCGACGAUCAGUAGUGGGUCUGAGAGGAUGAUCCGCCACACUGGGACUGAGACACGGCCCAGACUCCUACGGGAGGCANCAGUGGGGAAUUUUGGACNAUGGGCGAAAGCCUGAUCCAGCCAUGCCGCGUGUCUGAAGAAAGGC